RNAcentral lists this ribosomal RNA (180 nucleotides) under uncultured Glomeromycotina. RNAcentral's name for it is "partial small subunit ribosomal RNA". The stretch from base 89 to 180 matches the Rfam family "Eukaryotic small subunit ribosomal RNA", at positions 736 to 830 of the family's 1831-position model. Lineage: Eukaryota; Fungi; Glomeromycota. The record is from RNAcentral.
GGUCUGGCUGGCCGGUCCGCCUCACCGCGUGUACUGGUUCGGCUGGACCUUUCCUUCUGGGGAUCCGCAUGCCCUUCACUGGGUGUGCUGGGGAACCAGGACUUUUACUUUGAAAAAAUUAGAGUGUUUAAAGCAGGCCUACGCUUGAAUACAUUAGCAUGGAAUAAUAGAAUAGGACUU